CAAUUAAAGCGGCCACGCCGCCCAUGGGCGGCGUGAGGGUCCGAAGCCCCUAUAAACAGUUGACGGGUUG
Molecule: non-coding RNA, 70 nt
Filed under: unclassified sequences
Source: RNAcentral